CCUACGGGCGGCUGCAGUGAGGAAUAUUGGUCAAUGGGCGCGAGCCUGAACCAGCCAAGUCGCGUGAGGGAAGACGGUCCUAUGGAUUGUAAACCUCUUUUGUCGGGGAGCAAAAGACGCCACGCGUGGCGUUCCGAGAGUACCCUAAGAAAAAGCAUCGGCUAACUCCGUGCCAGCAGCCGCGGUAAUACGGAGGAUGCGGGCGUUAUCCGGAUUUACUGGGUUAAAAGGGUGCGAAGGCGGAAGAUCAAGUCAGCGGUAAAAUUGAGAGGCUCAACCUCUUCGAGACGUUGAAACUGGUUGUCUUGAGUGAGCGAGAAGUAUGCGGAAUGCGUGGUGUAGCGGUGAAAUGCAUAGAUAUCACGCAGAACACCGAUUGCGAAGGCAGCAUACCGGCGCGCAACUGACGCUGAGGCACGAAAGUGUGGGUAGCGAACAGGAUUAGAUACCCUGGUAGUC
RNAcentral lists this ribosomal RNA (459 nucleotides) under uncultured bacterium. Its description in RNAcentral is "partial 16S ribosomal RNA". It matches the Rfam family "Bacterial small subunit ribosomal RNA", at positions 338 to 795 of the family's 1533-position model. The record is from RNAcentral.